GAUGAACGCUGGCGGCGUGCCUAAUACAUGCAAGUCGAGCGAACAGACGAGGAGCUUGCUCCUUUGACGUUAGCGGCGGACGGGUGAGUAACACGUGGAUAACCUACCUAUAAGACUGGGAUAACUUCGGGAAACCGGAGCUAAUACCGGAUAAUAUUUAGAACCGCAUGGUUCAAUAGUGAAAGAUGGUUUUGCUGUCACUUAUAGAUGGACCCGCGCCGCAUUAGCUAGUUGGUAAGGUAACGGCUUACCAAGGCAACGAUGCGUAGCCGACCUGAGAGGGUGAUCGGCCACACUGGAACUGAGACACGGUCCAGACUCCUACGGGAGGCAGCAGUAGGGAAUCUUCCGCAAUGGGCGAAAGCCUGACGGAGCAACGCCGCGUGAGUGAUGAAGGUCUUCGGAUCGUAAAACUCUGUUAUUAGGGAAGAACAAAUGUGUAAGUAACUAUGCACGUCUUGACGGUACCUAAUCAGAAAGCCACGGCUAACUACGUG
Molecule: ribosomal RNA, 497 nt
Filed under: uncultured bacterium
Lineage: Bacteria
Description: partial 16S ribosomal RNA
Rfam family: Bacterial small subunit ribosomal RNA
Source: RNAcentral